ACAGUUGAGGUACAGAGACAGCGUUCGCAGUCAGCUUGCUAGAGGACCUACACGGGCUCCUCAAGUUCCGCUGCUUCCUCCUCCAAGCUUGCUAGUAUUGAAAACCCAGGAGUUUGGGGUCAUUCAUCAGGAGGAUUCUGCUCCAGUUUGCCCCCUUCUUGGUCCUAGGAUACUGGAGGGCCAGAGAAAGCAAGCUUGAAACAGAGAGGAACGGGUCACUUUGGUGGAGGAAAUUGGGCCACCAAGCAGCCCUAUGGAGAGGCCAAUGUGGAGAGAAACUGAGGCCUUCCACCAAAAGCCAGCACCAACUUGCUAUCCAUGUGAGUGAACCAGCUUGCAGUACAGAGUGGUCAACCCCAGUCAAGCUUUCAGAUAACUACAAGCCUAGUUGACAUCUUGACUACAACUUCAAGAGAGACAUCAAGGCAGAACUGCUUCGCUAAACUGCUCUUGAAUUCUUGACCCACAGAAACUGAGAGAGAGAAUAAAUAUUUAUUGUUGUUUCAAGUAA
Molecule: long non-coding RNA, 511 nt
Filed under: Homo sapiens (human)
Lineage: Eukaryota; Metazoa; Chordata; Mammalia; Primates; Hominidae
Description: non-protein coding LINC01154:5
Source: RNAcentral